The sequence is a small nucleolar RNA, 75 nucleotides long. Its record names the gene SNORD58. It matches the Rfam family "Small nucleolar RNA SNORD58". Rfam says of the family: snoRNA U58 is found in introns 1, 3 and 6 of the ribosomal protein RPL17 gene in humans. U58 is a member of the C/D class of snoRNA which contain C (UGAUGA) and D (CUGA) box motifs. Most of the members of the box C/D family function in directing site-specific 2'-O-methylation of substrate RNAs. The record is from Ensembl.
UUGCCGUGAUGACAAACUUAGGACACCUUUGAAAUUAAGUUUGAAAACAAAUUGCAUUAAAGAAAUCUGAACAGC